RNAcentral lists this ribosomal RNA (300 nucleotides) under uncultured Lactobacillus sp. Its description in RNAcentral is "bacterial SSU rRNA". It matches the Rfam family "Bacterial small subunit ribosomal RNA", at positions 496 to 795 of the family's 1533-position model. Lineage: Bacteria; Bacillati; Bacillota; Bacilli; Lactobacillales; Lactobacillaceae. The record is from RNAcentral.
GGGAACGAAGGGGCAGCAGCCGGGUUAGUACGAUGGGGGAAGUCGUUGGCCGGAUGUAGUGGGUUGAAAGGGUGCGUAGUCGGGUCUAUAAGUCAGUGCGGAAAUGUCCCGGCUUAACCGGGAGGGUGGCAUUGAUACUGCAGAGCUUGAGUAAAGUUGAAGUUGGCGGAAUUGACGGUGUAGCGGUGAAAUGCUUAGAUAUCGUCAAGAACACCGAUAGUGAAGACAGCUAACUAAGCUUUAACUGACGCUGAGGCACGAAAGUGUGGGGAUCAAACAGGAUUAGAUACCCGGGUAGUC